This 779-nucleotide ribosomal RNA is filed under the name uncultured archaeon. RNAcentral describes it as "bacterial SSU rRNA". It matches the Rfam family "Archaeal small subunit ribosomal RNA", at positions 115 to 879 of the family's 1478-position model. The record is from RNAcentral.
CUGGGAAGGGCAUACCCCGGGAACUGGGGGCAAUUCUUGAUAGGCAGAGAGGCCUGGAAUGGUUCUCUGUUCAAAAGGGGUUAAACACAUGCUGUUUAAUCUUGCCCGAGGAUAGGGCCGCACCCGAUCAGGUCGCUGGUGAGGUAAUGGCUCACCAGGCCUAUAACCGGUACGGGCCGUGAGAGCGGGAGCCCGGAGAUGGGCACUGAGAUAAGGGCCCAGGUCCUACGGGACGCAGCAGGCGCGAAAACUCCGCAAUGCGCGGAAGCGUGACGGGGUCACCCCGAGUGCCAUCCGCUGAGGGUGGCUUUUGCCCGGUUUAAUGAGCCGGGUGAAUAAGGGGAGGGCAAGCCUGGUGUCAGCCGCCGCGGUAAUACCAGCUCCUCGAGUGGUUGGGACGAUUAUUGGGUUUAAAGCGUUCGUAGCCGGUCGGAAAAGUUCUCCGUUAAAUCCAACGAUCCAAUCGUUGGGCUGCGGGGAAUACUCUUCGGCUUGGGGGCGGGGGAGGUCGACGGUAGUCCCGGGGUAGGGGCGAAAUCCUAUAAUCCCGGGAGGACCACCAGUGGCGUAGGCGGUCGACUAAAACGCGCCCGACGGUGAGGGACGAAAGCUGGGGGAGCGAACGGGAUUAGAUACCCCGGUAGUCCCAGCUGUAAACGAUGCAGGCUAGGUGUUGGGACGGCUACGGGCCGUCUCAGUGCCGCAGGGUAACCAUUAAGCCUGCCACCUGGGAAGUACGGCCGCAAGGCUGAAACUUAAAGGAAUUGGCGGGGGAGCAC